Molecule: ribosomal RNA, 594 nt
Filed under: Triticum aestivum (bread wheat)
Lineage: Eukaryota; Viridiplantae; Streptophyta; Magnoliopsida; Poales; Poaceae
Description: partial small subunit ribosomal RNA
Source: RNAcentral
AUGGAGGAUGCCGCAACUUCGAAUCCAGCUCCACCCAACACUGUUAUCGAUCUGCCUGAUGAUGAUGAGGAUGAGGAGCCGCUGAAGCACAGGAGGAGUCGGAAAGCGCCUGCCGGCAAGGUGUCUCAGGAUGCGUCAGCGCCUGAGAUUCUGACUGUGGAGGGAGAGAACACCACUCGACACACGGUGACCUUCGCGACCCCACUGACGAGUGCUCAGCAGCCUUCCCUCUUCACGACUCACCACGUCCCAGAGGACCAAGCUGGUGCGGCGAAGGAGGCGAUACGCCAGGCGGGACUCAUGAUGGAGCAGCUGAAGACCAUCCGGGAUGCGAGUCAAGCAGCCUAUGACGCCAGCUCUGCCCUCCAAAGCAAUGUCCAGAACUCCUGUGAUCUUGUGGCUCGCUACUCAGAGCUAGAACAGAAACACACUCAAGUCGAGCUGAGCUUGAAGCUGGUUCAGGAGAAGCUGACAAAGGCGAAGGAGGAGACUGAAGGUAAGGUAAAGGAGGCCCAGCAGAAGAAAGACCUUGAGCUAGCUGAGAAGAUCAAGCUUGCUGACGAGAAGUUAGCUUCAGUCACCAAGCUUGAAUAG